RNAcentral lists this ribosomal RNA (498 nucleotides) under uncultured bacterium. RNAcentral's name for it is "partial 16S ribosomal RNA". It matches the Rfam family "Bacterial small subunit ribosomal RNA", at positions 28 to 507 of the family's 1533-position model. The record is from RNAcentral.
GACGAACGCUGGCGGCGUGCCUAAUACAUGCAAGUCGAACGAGAGCGACCGGUGCUUGCACUGGUCAAUCUAGUGGCGAACGGGUGAGUAACACGUGGGUAACCUGCCCAUCAGAGGGGGAUAACAUCCGGAAACGGAUGCUAAAACCGCAUAGGUCUUCGAACCGCAUGGUUUGAAGAGGAAAAGAGGCGCAAGCUUCUGCUGAUGGAUGGACCCGCGGUGCAUUAGCUAGUUGGUGAGGUAACGGCUCACCAAGGCCGUGAUGCAUAGCCGACCUGAGAGGGUGAUCGGCCACAUUGGGACUGAGACACGGCCCAAACUCCUACGGGAGGCAGCAGUAGGGAAUCUUCCGCAAUGGACGCAAGUCUGACGGAGCAACGCCGCGUGAGCGAAGAAGGUUUUCGGAUCGUAAAACUCUGUUGUUAGAGAAGAACAAGUGCUAGAGUAACUGUUAGCGCCUUGACGGUAGCUAACCAGAAAGCCACGGCUAACUACGUG